AGAAUUAUAAUUUAAGUGCUAAAAAUAUUAAAUUGCAAAUUUGAAUUUAUAAUUAUUAUUAAUUCUU
Molecule: transfer RNA, 67 nt
Filed under: Encyrtus infelix
Lineage: Eukaryota; Metazoa; Arthropoda; Insecta; Hymenoptera; Encyrtidae
Description: tRNA-Cys
Source: RNAcentral